Molecule: ribosomal RNA, 249 nt
Filed under: uncultured Carnobacterium sp.
Lineage: Bacteria; Bacillati; Bacillota; Bacilli; Lactobacillales; Carnobacteriaceae
Description: partial 16S ribosomal RNA
Rfam family: Bacterial small subunit ribosomal RNA
Source: RNAcentral
UAGGGAAUCUUCCGCAAUGGACGAAAGUCUGACGGAGCAAUGCCGCGUGAGUGAAGAAGGUUUUCGGAUCGUAAAACUCUGUUGUUAGAGAAGAACAAGGAUGAGAGUAACUGCUCAUCCCCUGACGGUAUCUAACCAGAAAGCCACGGCUAACUACGUGCCAGCAGCCGCGGUAAUACGUAGGUGGCAAGCGUUGUCCGGAUUUAUUGGGCGUAAAGCGAGCGCAGGCGGGUCUUUAAGGCUGAUGUG